Molecule: unclassified non-coding RNA, 343 nt
Filed under: soil metagenome
Description: partial contains 5.8S ribosomal RNA, internal transcribed spacer 2, and large subunit ribosomal RNA
Rfam family: 5.8S ribosomal RNA (bases 1-120)
Source: RNAcentral
GAUGAAGAACGUAGCGAAAUGCGAUAAGUAAUGUGAAUUGCAGAAUUCAGUGAAUCAUCGAAUCUUUGAACGCACAUUGCGCCCGCUAGUAUUCUGGCGGGCAUGCCUGACCGAGCGUCAUUUCAACCCUCAAGCCCCCGGGCUUGGUGUUGGGGAUCGGCGAGCCUCCGCGCCCGCCGUCCCCUAAAUCUAGUGGCGGUCUCGCUGUAGCUUCCUCUGCGUAGUAGCACACCUCGCACUGGGAAACAGCGCGGCCACGCCGUUAAACCCCCAACUUCUGAACGUUUGACCUCGGAUCAGGUAGGAAUACCCGCUGAACUUAAGCAUAUCAAUAAGCGGAGGA